AUUGAACGCUGGCGGCAUGCCUUACACAUGCAAGUCGAACGGUAACGCGGGGCAACCUGGCGACGAGUGGCGAACGGGUGAGUAAUAUAUCGGAACGUGCCCAGUAGUGGGGGAUAGCCCGGCGAAAGCCGGAUUAAUACCGCAUACGACCUAAGGGUGAAAGGGGGGGAUCGCAAGACCUCUCGCUAUUGGAGCGGCCGAUAUCAGAUUAGCUUGUUGGUGGGGUAAAAGCCUACCAAGGCGACGAUCUGUAGCUGGUCUGAGGGGACGACCAGCCACACUGGGACUGAGACACGGCCCAGACUCCUACGGGAGGCAGCAGUGGGGAAUUUUGGACAAUGGACGAAAGUCUGAUCCAGCCAUGCCGCGUGCGGGAAGAAGGCCUUCGGGUUGUAAACCGCUUUUGUCAGGGAAGAAAUCCUUUGGGUUAAUACCUCGGGGGGAUGACGGUACCUGAAGAAUACGCACCGGCUAACUACGUGCCAGCAGCCGCGGUAAUACGUAGGGUGCAAGCGUUAAUCGGAAUUACUGGGCGUAAAGCGUGCGCAGGC
RNAcentral lists this ribosomal RNA (551 nucleotides) under uncultured bacterium. Its description in RNAcentral is "bacterial SSU rRNA". It matches the Rfam family "Bacterial small subunit ribosomal RNA", at positions 28 to 576 of the family's 1533-position model. The record is from RNAcentral.